This is a long non-coding RNA of Passer domesticus (house sparrow), 470 nucleotides long. RefSeq lists it as uncharacterized. Lineage: Eukaryota; Metazoa; Chordata; Aves; Passeriformes; Passeridae. The record is from RefSeq and is a predicted model, not a curated record. The transcript is spliced from 5 exons.
GGGUCCAUUGCUGGGAAAUGGAACUACUUUCUCUAAAGGUCCUCUGACAGGAGAGACCAAAGACAUGGCAGGCAGGAAAUUCCAGGACCCAUUAGAAAUCAUGUGGCAAAUGCUGAAGGAAUGUCUGCAGAGAAGACAAGAAAUGAAAGGAGAGCCUGCGGAGAAAGAAGCAUUUCCCGGAGGAAGCAGUGGUUGCAUGCCAGCCUCAGCUCCAGGAAGGGAGGCCAUGCCAGGCACAGGCACAGGAGAUGAGGGUGCUGGGAAGGCUUCUCCAUCAGCUUGGAUGAAUAAAGUUUUGAAGCCCUUGGAGCCUCCUGCAGAUGUGUCUACAGGGAAGACUUCUCCAGCUUCUCCAGCUGCUACCUUGGAUGCUGCACUCAAGCCCAGCUCCCAUCUCAGGGGUACUCCAACAGGGAAAAUCCAAGAUACAACAGAUAAGAUAUCCCUAGAACGAUCCAAACAGAUGAGGC